UAACAAGGAUUCCCCUAGUAACUGCGAGUGAAGCGGGAAAAGCUCAAAUUUAAAAUCUGGUGGUCUUUGGCCAUCCGAGUUGUAAUCUAGAGAAGUGCUACCCACACUGGACCAUGUAUAAGUCUUCUGGAAUGAAGCGUCAUAGAGGGUGAGAAUCCCGUCUUUGACAUGGACUCCCAGUGUGUUGUGGUGUGCUCUCAAAGAGUCGAGUUGUUUGGGAAUGCAGCUCUAAAUGGGUGGUAACCUCCAUCUAAAGCUAAAUAUUGGCGAGAGACCGAUAGUGAACAAGUACCGUGAGGGAAAGAUGAAAAGAACUUUGGAAAGAGAGUUAAACAGUACGUGAAAUUGUUGAAAGGGAAACGCUUGAAGUCAGUCGCAUUGGCCAGGGAUCAACCUAGCUCUUUUGCUUGGUGUAUUUCCUGGUUGAUGGGCCAAUAUCAGUUUUGAUUGCCAGAGAAGGACAGAGGGAAUGUGGCACCUCUGGGUGUGUUAUAGCUUUUUGUCAUAUAUGGCAGUUUGGGACUGAGGAAUGCAGUGCGCCACAAGGCCGGGUUUCGACCACGUUCGCACUUUGGAUGUUGGCAUAAUGACUUUAAUCGAC
Molecule: ribosomal RNA, 601 nt
Filed under: Amanita imazekii
Lineage: Eukaryota; Fungi; Basidiomycota; Agaricomycetes; Agaricales; Amanitaceae
Description: eukaryotic LSU rRNA
Rfam family: Eukaryotic large subunit ribosomal RNA
Source: RNAcentral